RNAcentral lists this long non-coding RNA (926 nucleotides) under Marmota monax (woodchuck). The record is from RNAcentral. Lineage: Eukaryota; Metazoa; Chordata; Mammalia; Rodentia; Sciuridae.
UGAACACCGCCCUGGAGGUAAGCAAGGAAGCAGGAAUUUUAUUAAAAAGGAAAGUGAGAGAAAGAUCUAGAACUCCCUGAACAGAGCACCUGGGAGGGGCAAAGUGCCCUUUAAGUCUCGCAUUGCUCCUCCUUUUCAAGGCACAUAAGGAGAAGUCGAUAAGUUCCUCUUUAUUGGUUUUGGUAUUGCAACUGUCCCACAGCCAGCAUGGGCCGCAUUAUGGAUGAUGCAGUCACUUUGGGCAAGAUGGAGACUUCCACCUUUCUAAGAAGCAGGAACUGUCUUAUAACAUGUUGCAGCAAGUUAAGAUGCUGCCCUUGUGCUUGCCCUCUCAUCAAUCUAUACUGUCCCUUCCUAGUCUCCAAUGCCUAGCCUCUUUCAUCUCAAGCUCAGUCUGGUCCCUUGAAAUACAUGUACUGUAAACCUUAGGGCAAACUUUCUUUUUAAAUCAGAAGGACUAAGCAAAGCCAUAGAGCCCAUAAUACUAAAUAACACUUGGUUAAUCUAAAAGAAAGGAGGAGAGAAAAAGAGCAUGUGGCACCAACAGGAAACAGUCGAUUGAAGCCAGUCAUAUCCAUAAUUACAUUAAAUGUGAAUGGACUGAAGACCAACUGAAAGAUCACCAUGUCAUCAUCAAGAAUCAAGAAGAUGGCGUUUGCAAGAGACCUAGUUUAUAUUUAAAGACAAAUAGCUAAAAGUAAAAAUGGAAAAAAUAGCAAUAAUGAAAAACGGAAGUGUUCAUAGUAAGUGUGAUGCAGGAGAGACUUCAAGACAAAAGAAUUUCCCAAAAUAAAAAGGAGCUUUUCAUAAUGAUAAAAUUGAUACUGGUCUUGGAAAAAUCAGGAUUGGGUUCUUGUUCCCCUGGUGUUGAAGAUUAAACACCCAAGAAAUGCUGAGGCAAGUGUACGAAGCAAAGUUUAUUUAAG